RNAcentral lists this long non-coding RNA (200 nucleotides) under Elaeis guineensis (African oil palm). RNAcentral describes it as "long non-coding RNA (EGUI_LNC010530)". Lineage: Eukaryota; Viridiplantae; Streptophyta; Magnoliopsida; Arecales; Arecaceae. The record is from RNAcentral.
GUCAGAUUACUGUGUUUGAUAUAUUUUUUGAAUGACAAUUCAGAUUGCCUUGGUAAUUCAGAUUAACUCUCAAGAGGUAAUCUAGAUUGCUUUAAGGAGAGGUGGCUAUCCAGAUUAUCACUUAUUUGGUAAUGUUGCAAAAAAAAUUUGGACAAAACUAUCCCUCAAAGAAAUCACACAAAAUCCAUCUCUCCACCCCC